This 537-nucleotide ribosomal RNA is filed under the name Triticum aestivum (bread wheat). Its description in RNAcentral is "partial small subunit ribosomal RNA". The record is from RNAcentral. Lineage: Eukaryota; Viridiplantae; Streptophyta; Magnoliopsida; Poales; Poaceae.
AUGGCCGAAUGCUUCAAUAGGGUGCUCAAAGGUGCACGUGGAUUACCCGUGACGGCAAUAGUUCAAUACACAUUUGACAAGAUGAAUGCGUACUUUGUAAAGUACUCGAUGGAAACCGAUGCACAGAUAGCGGGUGAGAACCCACGGAAGUACAAGUACAAGUUCCCACCCAAAGUUGAUGAAUGGUUGCUAUUUCAAUCACGGAAGGCGGACUCAAAAGAAGCUAUAUUAUAUGACAAUGAAGAGUGGAAGUACGAAGUGAAAGAGCCAGGAACCACAAAUGAUGGCCGGCAACAUGGAGGUCGGGCUUUCAAGGUGUCGUUAACACAAUGUGAUUGCUCUUGCGGGAGGCCAUUGUUGCUUCAUCUCCCAUGCUCACAUUUGUAUGCCGCCGGCCGCGUUAGGAAUGUGGACAUCAAUCACCCACGCACCGUGAGGGAGUCGGAGUUCUCAAUCAUGACGGUCAAGAAAACAUGGGCUCCCCGCAAGAGAGGAGGAUGCAGCCAAGCUAAAGAAGAAGAAGGAAGAGGAGCUUGA